Molecule: ribosomal RNA, 455 nt
Filed under: uncultured bacterium
Lineage: Bacteria
Description: partial 16S ribosomal RNA
Rfam family: Bacterial small subunit ribosomal RNA
Source: RNAcentral
CCUACGGGAGGCAGCAGUGAGGAAUAUUGGUCAAUGGCCGCAGGGCUGAACCAGCCAAGUCGCGUGAGGGAUGACGGUCCUAUGGAUUGUAAACCUCUUUUGUCAGGGAGCAAAGGGCGCCACGUGUGGCGUUUUGCGAGUACCUGAAGAAAAAGCAUCGGCUAACUCCGUGCCAGCAGCCGCGGUAAUACGGAGGAUGCGAGCGUUAUCCGGAUUUAUUGGGUUUAAAGGGUGCGCAGGCGGAAUGUCAAGUCAGCGGUAAAAUUUCGGGGCUCAACCCCGUCGUGCCGUUGAAACUGGCGGUCUUGAGUGAGCGAGAAGUAUGCGGAAUGCGUGGUGUAGCGGUGAAAUGCAUAGAUAUCACGAAGAACUCCGAUUGCGAAGGCAGCAUACCGGCGCUCAACUGACGCUCAUGCACGAAAGCGUGGGUAUCGAACAGGAUUAGAUACCCCAGU